AGGAGGUGCAGCGUUCUCUCCUGAGAGUGAAGCCGACUCUCAGUGUUGCCUUUGUAACACCUGUUUGCUGUUGAUCUUUCUCUUUUGGAAGAGCAAGAAGGGGAGGACACCGUCCGA
Non-coding RNA from Manis javanica (Malayan pangolin), 117 nucleotides. NCBI's taxonomy places the organism in Eukaryota, Metazoa, Chordata, Mammalia, Pholidota, Manidae. The record is from RefSeq and is a predicted model, not a curated record.